CUUCCCUGUUUCAUUUCAUCACCCUGUCCCCUCUCCCCUCCUCUCUCCUCCCUUGCCUCUGAUCUUUCAGUGUGGUGGCGCUCUCAUGCUGCAUCAUCGGGGAUAACACGUGCUCUCUGUUUAUUAUCAGGGAGGGAGGGAGUUGGAGAGAAAGAAGGAGGGAGGAUGAGAGGGUAGCAGAGAACCCAUAGAGUAGACAGCCUUUCUCUGUAGCACACACAGACACACAGACCAGAACAGACUGGGGGAAAGAGAGAGGGAAACAGACGCACUGCAAAAUCCAGACGCAUCAACAGCCACCCUAGCAGCUCAAACCACCACAGCAGAUGGGGCCCGGAUUGUUUUGGAACUUCUCUUCAAAGGCUAACUGCUCGGUGCCGCAGAGCCUGCUGCAGACCAUGUUGCUCUCCAGGAUGGCUGGGAUGAAGGAGCAGCAAUUUACUGAGGAGAAACCCCUACUGCAAGAACAGCGAGGACAAGACACUGAGAUGGAGAACUGUGAGACCCUGAUGCCCACUGGAGACUGGAAGGUACUGAAACUGUUUUCUACAUUUUCAAUGUACCGUACUCUCUUUCUCUCUCUAUCCUUCUCUGGUUGCUGUUAUUACUGUACAUCACAGGAGGCUGCUGAGGGGAAAACGGCUCAUAAUAAUGACCAGAACAGAGCAAAUAAAAUGGCAUCAAACACUUGGAAACCAUGUGUUUGACCUAUUUGAUACCAUUGCACAUCUUCCGCUCCUUACCACUAGCCCAUCCUCCCCAAUUAAGUUGCCACCAACCUCCUGUGCUGUACACUCACCCACGUAACCAUGGUGACUCAUUGGCAGGAGAAGAGGGAAGAAGAUGGGGAGAAGGAGAAGUGACUGUUUGGCCAUGGCACAGCCUAAUAUGAGUUGGGACCACUAGAUACUGAUGGAAUCAUUCACUAUCACACAGCAGCUCUCACACAGUGCAGAACCACAGUAGUUUUAAAGUCCUUAGAAGUUGAUUUCUGUAAUGUGAUGUUCAGAGUCUAUUUUAACAUGAAUCCACGUAGCGAUUAGAUCAGAGAUAUGACUAAUCGUCUAGACACCUCCAUUCUCCCCUCUGUCUGAUACCUCCAGUGUCACCUCCCCCCUCUCUCACCUCCCCCUCUGCCCCCCUCUUCCCCCCUCUCUCACCCUCUCAACUCAAUUCAAUUCAAAUGGCUUUAUUGGCAUGGGAAACAUAUGUUACAUUGCCAAAGCAAGUGAAAUCGAUAAUAAACAAAAGUGAAAUAAACAAUCGAAAAUGAACAGUAAACAUUACGCUCACAAAAGUUUCAAAGGAAUAAAGACAUUUCAAAUGUCAUAUUAUGGCUAUGUACAGUGUUGUAACUAUGUGGAUAUAGUUAAAGUACAAAAGGGAAAAUAAAUAAACAUGAAUAUGCGUUUGUUCUUCAAUGGUUGCCCUUUUCUUGUGGUUUGUUCUUCACCGGUUGCCGUUUUCGUGUGGUAACAGGUCACAAAUAUUGCUGCUGUGAUGGCACACUAUGGUAUUUCACCUAAUAGAUAUGGGAGUUUUUCAAAAUUAGAUUUUUUUCAAAUUCUUUGUGGGUCUGUGUAAUCUGAGGGAAAUAUGUCUCUUAUAUGGUCAUACAUUUGGCAGAAGGUUAGGAAGUGCAGCUCAGUUUCCACCUCAUUGUGUGGGCAGUGUGCACAUAGCCUGUCUUCUUUUGAGAGCCAUGUCUGCCUACAGCAAGGCUAUGCUCACUGAGUCUGGCUAUGCUCACUGAGUCUGUACAUAGUCAAAGCUUUCUUUAAUUUUGGGUCAGUCACAGUGGUCAUGUAUUCUGCCACUGUGUACUCUCUGUUUAGGGCCAAACAGCAUUCCAGUUUUUCAGUUUUUUUGGUUAAUUCUUUCCAAUGUGUCAAGGAAUUAUCUUUUAGUUUUCUUAUGAUUUGGUUGGGUGUAGAUGUGUUGCUGUCCUGGGGCUCUGUGGGGUGUGUUUGUGAACAGAGCCCCAGGACCAGCUUGCUGAGGAGAUUCUUCUCUGUAGGUGAUGUCUUAUUUCUGGAAGGUUUAGAAAUCGCUUCCUUUCAUGUGGUUGUGGAAUAUAACCGCUCUUUUCUGGAUUUUGAUAAUUAGCGGGUAUCGUCAUAAUUCUGAUCUGCAUGCAUUAUUGGGUGUUUUACAUUGUACACGUAAUAUGUUUUUGCAGAAUUCUGCAUGCAGAGUCUCAAUUUGGUGUUUGUACCAUUUUGUGAAUUCUAGGUUGGUGAGGGACCCCAGACCUCACAACCAUAAAUGGCAAUGGGUUCUAUAACUGAUUCAAGUAUUUUUAGCCAGAUCCUAAUUGGGAUGUUGAAUUAUAUGUUCCUUUUAAUGGCGUAGAGGGCCCUUCUUGCCUUGUUUCUCAGAUCGUUCACAGGUUUGUGGAAGUUACCUGUGUUGCUGAUGUUCAGGCCGAGGUAUGUAUGAUUUUUUGUGUGCUCUUUGGCAAUGGUUGUCUCGAUGGAAAUUGAAUUUGUGUUCCUGGCAACUGGACCUUUUUUGGAACACCAUUUCCUGUCAGGGCCCAAGUCUGACAUAAUCUGUGCAGAAGAUCUAGGAGCUGUUGUGUCCCCCCCCCCCCUUCUCUCUCUAUCUGUUAAAUGCUUUGCACAAAUCAGCAGGCCUCAAGUUGUAUCACACAGUGGUUGAGUGUAUGGUACCAUGUAGCUCAGUUGGUAGUGUUGUGCUUGUAACGCAAGGGUUGUGGAUUCGAUUCCCCCUGGGCACCAUUACGAAAAUGUAUGCCCAAAUGUAAGUUGCUCUGGAUAAAAGCUAAAAUGUAAAUGUUUGUAUGUGUGUUUUUCUGAGGGUAUCCUUGCAUGUGUGUGUGAUGACAGUGCAUAUGAUUAUAGGUGAGAGAAUGAGGUUGUGUAUUUAAUGAAGACUGGAAAUGUUGAGUCAGCCGGGGAGUGGGUUAAUCCCUCUCUUCCGCAGAAAAGGGGGACCGAGCUGGAGAGAGAAAGAGACAUGGAGAGUUUACAGUUGAGUCAGCUUGCUAAGUUCUCUGUACACAGGAAAGGCGGAUACCGACGAGAGAAAGAAAAAAUUGAUGUUGUGGAGAAUAUGGACAAUGGCUGCUGGUGUGAAUAAAUGUAACCUAUAGCAGAGACAGCCACUGCUGCCAUAUUGAUCUGUAGUCAGCACUGUUCCAUCAUCCCCUGCUUUCUGAGUAGAUGCACGCACAUACAGUACUCUGCUCCGCUUUACUGGUGACCUAUGGCCACUUACUGUCCCAUCAAUGUCCCAUUACACAGAGGCAUGGAGGAGCCUACUGGCUGCUGCUGCUGCUGCUGCUGCUGCUGCUGCUGCUGCUGCUGCUGCUUCUGCUGCACAGAGACAGAAAGAGACGUCACUGUUCUCUGUUUCAUUUUUAUUUGUAAAAAUAAAUCUCACUGCAUGCUAAGCAUUUGUUUAUGCAUCACCGUCCAUGACUGUUAAGGAGCGAUAAGAGGGGUGGGAAAGGAAAGGAGACAGGUAGGACAGGGUCAAUAAGAGAGAGAGGGAGAGAAAAAGAGAGGGAGAUAAGCCAUCUUCUCCUGAAACAGAGCACUGGUGCUGAUGAGAGAGCAAAACAAGAGCACAGCAGAGAACCUGCUGUGACUGACAGAGGAGCCAACCAAUCAUGUGCAGAGAGGCAGCACUGGCAGCGAAUAGGCUUGAGUUCGACACGCCCUCAUGGUGGGGUUUAUAAGGUGUCGGGGGAAGAGAGGGGGCACAGCACUGCAGCGCUCAGCCCCAGAGCAGGAACAGGCUAGACGAGACAAGACAAGACGAGACAAAGAGACCACCAGCAGCAUCCCCCAGCAGGCUCUGCUCUAAAGCCAGGACCUAGUCCCACUGCAGGAGAGGACUGGCUCUGUCUGUCUGUCUGUCUCGUCUCCACUGGCUGCUCCUCCUCCUCCUCCUGCCAUUCUUCCUCCUCUUUCUCCUCCACCACUG
RNAcentral lists this long non-coding RNA (3951 nucleotides) under Salmo trutta (river trout). RNAcentral's name for it is "lncRNA (ENSSTUG00000007793.1)". The record is from RNAcentral. Lineage: Eukaryota; Metazoa; Chordata; Actinopteri; Salmoniformes; Salmonidae.